UACGGGGGGGGCAAGCGUUGUUCGGAAUUACUGGGCGUAAAGGGCUCGUAGGUGGCCAACUAAGUCAGACGUGAAAUCCCCAGGCUCAACUUGGGAACUGCGUCUGAUACUGGAUGGCUUGAAUUCGGGAGAGGGAUGCAGAAUUCCUGGUGUAGCGGUGAAAUGCGCAGAUAUCAGGAGGAACACCGGUGGCGAAGGCGGGUCUCUGGGCCGAUACUGACGCUGAGGAGCGAAAGCGUGGGGAGCGAACAGG
RNAcentral lists this ribosomal RNA (253 nucleotides) under uncultured bacterium. RNAcentral's name for it is "partial 16S ribosomal RNA". It matches the Rfam family "Bacterial small subunit ribosomal RNA", at positions 524 to 776 of the family's 1533-position model. The record is from RNAcentral.